This 73-nucleotide transfer RNA is filed under the name Cetopsis coecutiens. RNAcentral describes it as "tRNA-Thr". It matches the Rfam family "tRNA". Rfam says of the family: Transfer RNA (tRNA) molecules are approximately 80 nucleotides in length. Their secondary structure includes four short double-helical elements and three loops (D, anti-codon, and T loops). Further hydrogen bonds mediate the characteristic L-shaped molecular structure. tRNAs have two regions of fundamental functional importance: the anti-codon, which is responsible for specific mRNA codon recognition, and the 3' end, to which the tRNAs corresponding amino acid is attached (by aminoacyl-tRNA synthetases). tRNAs cope with the degeneracy of the genetic code in two manners: having more than one tRNA (with a specific anti-codon) for a particular amino acid; and 'wobble' base-pairing, i.e. permitting non-standard base-pairing at the 3rd anti-codon position. Lineage: Eukaryota; Metazoa; Chordata; Actinopteri; Siluriformes; Cetopsidae. RNAcentral also lists the same sequence under 1 other name. The record is from RNAcentral.
GCACUAGUAGCUUAGCCGCCAAAGCGCCGGUCUUGUAAUCCGGAGAUCGGAGAUUCAAAUUCUCCUUAGCGCC